Molecule: ribosomal RNA, 265 nt
Filed under: uncultured bacterium
Lineage: Bacteria
Description: partial 16S ribosomal RNA
Rfam family: Bacterial small subunit ribosomal RNA
Source: RNAcentral
GCAUGCCUAACACAUGCAAGUCGAACGGUAACAGGUCUAGCUUGCUAGAUGCUGACGAGUGGCGGACGGGUGAGUAACGCGUAGGAAUUUGCCCUAAAGUGGAGGACAACUCGAGGAAACUCGAGCUAAUACUGCAUAAGCUCUACGGAGUAAAGCUGGGGACCUUCGGGCCUGGCGCUUUAGGAUAAGCCUGCGUUGGAUUAGCUAGUUGGUGAGGUAAUGGCUCACCAAGGCGACGAUCUAUAGCUGGUUUGAGAGGAUGAUC